Molecule: ribosomal RNA, 507 nt
Filed under: uncultured Glomeromycotina
Lineage: Eukaryota; Fungi; Glomeromycota
Description: SSU rRNA
Rfam family: Eukaryotic small subunit ribosomal RNA
Source: RNAcentral
AGCAGCCGCGGUAAUUCCAGCUCCAAUAGCGUAUAUUAAAGUUGUUGCAGUUAAAAAGCUCGUAGUUGAAUUUCGGGGUUAGUAGGUUGGUCAUGCCUCUGGUAUGUACUGGUCUCACUGAUUCCUCCUUCCUGAUGAGCCGUAAUGCCAUUAAUUUGGUGUUGCGGGGAAUUUGGACUGUUACUUUGAAAAAAUUAGAGUGUUUAAAGCAAGCUAACGCUUGAAUACAUUAGCAUGGAAUAAUGAAAUAGGACGUUCGAUCCUAUUUUGUUGGUUUCUAGGAUUGACGUAAUGAUUAAUAGGGAUAGUUGGGGGCAUUAGUAUUCAAUUGUCAGAGGUGAAAUUCUUGGAUUUAUUGAAGACUAACUACUGCGAAAGCAUUUGCCAAGGAUGUUUUCAUUAAUCAAGAACGAAAGUUAGGGGAUCGAAGACGAUCAGAUACCGUCGUAGUCUUAACCAUAAACUAUGCCGACUAGGGAUCGGGUGAUGUUAAUUUUUUAAUGACUC